Molecule: ribosomal RNA, 711 nt
Filed under: Salmonella enterica subsp. enterica serovar Infantis
Lineage: Bacteria; Pseudomonadati; Pseudomonadota; Gammaproteobacteria; Enterobacterales; Enterobacteriaceae
Description: partial 23S ribosomal RNA
Rfam family: Bacterial large subunit ribosomal RNA
Source: RNAcentral
UUCUAACGUGGAUCCGUAAUCCGGGUUGCGGACAGUGUCUGGUGGGUAGUUUGACUGGGGCGGUCUCCUCCUAAAGAGUAACGGAGGAGCACGAAGGUUGGCUAAUCCUGGUCGGACAUCAGGAGGUUAGUGCAAUGGCAUAAGCCAGCUUGACUGCGAGCGUGACGGCGCGAGCAGGUGCGAAAGCAGGUCAUAGUGAUCCGGUGGUUCUGAAUGGAAGGGCCAUCGCUCAACGGAUAAAAGGUACUCCGGGGAUAACAGGCUGAUACCGCCCAAGAGUUCAUAUCGACGGCGGUGUUUGGCACCUCGAUGUCGGCUCAUCACAUCCUGGGGCUGAAGUAGGUCCCAAGGGUAUGGCUGUUCGCCAUUUAAAGUGGUACGCGAGCUGGGUUUAGAACGUCGUGAGACAGUUCGGUCCCUAUCUGCCGUGGGCGCUGGAGAACUGAGGGGGGCUGCUCCUAGUACGAGAGGACCGGAGUGGACGCAUCACUGGUGUUCGGGUUGUCAUGCCAAUGGCACUGCCCGGUAGCUAAAUGCGGAAGAGAUAAGUGCUGAAAGCAUCUAAGCACGAAACUUGCCCCGAGAUGAGUUCUCCCUGAGACUUAGAGUCUCCUGAAGGAACGUUGAAGACGACGACGUUGAUAGGCCGGGUGUGUAAGCGCAGCGAUGCGUUGAGCUAACCGGUACUAAUGAACCGUGAGGCUUAACCUU